RNAcentral lists this ribosomal RNA (211 nucleotides) under uncultured bacterium. RNAcentral describes it as "partial 16S ribosomal RNA". It matches the Rfam family "Bacterial small subunit ribosomal RNA", at positions 1293 to 1500 of the family's 1533-position model. The record is from RNAcentral.
CCGGAUUGGAGUCUGCAACUCGACUCCAUGAAGUUGGAAUCGCUAGUAAUCCCGAAUCAGAAAUGUCGGGGUGAAUACGUUCCCGGGUGUUGUACACACCGCCCGUCACGCCAUGGGAGUCUGUAAUACCUGAAGUCGGUAGCCUAACCCGCAAGGGAGGGGGCCGCCCAGGGUAGGACAGGUGACUGGGGUGAAGUCGUAACAAGGUAUC